This 279-nucleotide unclassified non-coding RNA is filed under the name plant metagenome. RNAcentral's name for it is "partial contains small subunit ribosomal RNA, internal transcribed spacer 1, and 5.8S ribosomal RNA". The record is from RNAcentral.
UUUCCGUAGGUGAACCUGCGGAAGGAUCAUUAUUGAAUCAUACACUUCCGGCUUUAUCCUGUUGUCCUUGCUUUUUGCUAAAUUUGCACACGGCGCUGGUCCCUUGUUUCAUCUCCUCCACCUGCGCACUGCCUGCAGCCACGCUGUGUCUAAGAUAUUUGUUUACUCACAACAAUGUUAGUUGUCAUGUUAUAUAUAAUAAUCAAAUAAACAACUUUUAACAACGGAUCUCUUGACCCCCGCAUCGCGGAAGAACACAGCAGAUCGGAAGAGCAAACG